Molecule: ribosomal RNA, 552 nt
Filed under: uncultured fungus
Lineage: Eukaryota; Fungi
Description: eukaryotic LSU rRNA
Rfam family: 5.8S ribosomal RNA (bases 197-350)
Source: RNAcentral
AAGUCGUAACAAGGUCUCCGUUGGUGAACCAGCGGAGGGAUCAUUACCGAGUUUACAACUCCCAAACCCCUGUGAACAUACCUUAUUGUUGCCUCGGCGGAUCAGCCCGCUCCCCGUAAAACGGGACGGCCCGCCAGAGGACCCAAACUCUAUUGUAUUUAGUGUAUCUUCUGAGUAACACAAACAAAUAAAUCAAAACUUUCAACAACGGAUCUCUUGGUUCUGGCAUCGAUGAAGAACGCAGCAAAAUGCGAUAAGUAAUGUGAAUUGCAGAAUUCAGUGAAUCAUCGAAUCUUUGAACGCACAUUGCGCCCGCCAGUAUUCUGGCGGGCAUGCCUGUUCGAGCGUCAUUUCAACCCUCAAACCCUCGGGUUUGGUGUUGGGGAUCGGAUUGCUAGUCAAUCCGUCUCCGAAAUCUAGUGGCGGUCUCGCUGCAGCCUCCAUUGCGUAGUAGCUAACACCUCGCAACUGGAACGCGGCGCGGCCAUGCCGUUAAACACCCAACUUCUGAAUGUUGACCUCGGAUCAGGUAGGAAUACCCGCUGAACUUAA